Molecule: long non-coding RNA, 452 nt
Organism: Choloepus didactylus (southern two-toed sloth)
Lineage: Eukaryota; Metazoa; Chordata; Mammalia; Pilosa; Megalonychidae
Exons: 3
Source: RefSeq, a predicted model, not a curated record
CUCCCCUCGGCGGCCUCUCGGACAGCCCUAGCAACACUUAGCGACAACUAACCCGGGGCUUCUACACACCUUGGUCCUUCCAGCCCCUUUGCAGUCUUGAGAUCUACGAGCCGGAAGUGCCUGUGGAUAUAAUCUAGAUGUGGGGUGGCGAGGAAUGACAUUUGAGCUGCGAGAGGAAGCUGCAGACCAAAUAACAUCCACCUGUGAGUUCAGUUUGGCUGAAUGAGUUGCCAGUUUGCGACCUCAGAAUAGAAAAAAGGAAGAAGCGCCAGGAUCACUCCAAUAAUUAGAUGUCAGAGGAGUAGAAUCCAGCCAGCAAAGAAUGCUGAGAAGGAGCCACCAAAGAAAAUCGGAAGUAUGUGAUAUUCCUGAAGACCAAAGAAGAAAGUGGCAGGAAGAAGAGAAUGCCAGCAUUUCCUGAGGAGUCAUCGAACACCUUCAUCGGAGUUGCC